GGCGUUGUGGCUCAGUGUUAGAGUGCUCGCCUAGCAUGUGCGAGACCCUGGAUUCAAUCCUCAGCACCCCA
Molecule: transfer RNA, 71 nt
Filed under: Marmota monax (woodchuck)
Lineage: Eukaryota; Metazoa; Chordata; Mammalia; Rodentia; Sciuridae
Description: tRNA.Ala
Source: RNAcentral